This 483-nucleotide long non-coding RNA is filed under the name Medicago truncatula (barrel medic). RNAcentral's name for it is "long non-coding RNA (MTRU_LNC003399)". The record is from RNAcentral. Lineage: Eukaryota; Viridiplantae; Streptophyta; Magnoliopsida; Fabales; Fabaceae.
CUGUCUGAAGUUGAACCAAAACUAAAGUUAUACUAGUAUUAUUAAGAAGUCAACAUUAGAAAAACCAAACAUUAGCAUGAAUCAGAUCAUAAAUAAUAGAUGACCAAAACCAUAAGAUUUAAACUCUAACCAAGUGGGCAAAAUUAAAAAAAGAAUGUUCCUUGAACCACACAUCUACGCAAACAUUACAAAUUACAAUACAAUAUUAGUGAAAUUCAUCAAAUUCACUUUCUCCAGCAGCCAUGUAGCACCACAUCUAUGACUUUGAUCGAACCUGGAUUUCUUGCUGUUACAUCAGGACGUUGUAACAGUUAAAGAUUGUCUGAUCUUGAUCAAUGGUUCAGAUCAUUAAAUUGUGUUAUAAUAUGGAUCGUCUGAUUUGAUAUCAAUGGCCGUGAUUAAUUACAGCAUGAAACUUUGUGUUUUUGUACAACACCAAAUCCAGAUCCGACUUUGAUCCUACCAUAUACUCUUUACCUUCAC